Molecule: transfer RNA, 85 nt
Filed under: Felis catus (domestic cat)
Lineage: Eukaryota; Metazoa; Chordata; Mammalia; Carnivora; Felidae
Rfam family: tRNA
About the family: Transfer RNA (tRNA) molecules are approximately 80 nucleotides in length. Their secondary structure includes four short double-helical elements and three loops (D, anti-codon, and T loops). Further hydrogen bonds mediate the characteristic L-shaped molecular structure. tRNAs have two regions of fundamental functional importance: the anti-codon, which is responsible for specific mRNA codon recognition, and the 3' end, to which the tRNAs corresponding amino acid is attached (by aminoacyl-tRNA synthetases). tRNAs cope with the degeneracy of the genetic code in two manners: having more than one tRNA (with a specific anti-codon) for a particular amino acid; and 'wobble' base-pairing, i.e. permitting non-standard base-pairing at the 3rd anti-codon position.
Source: Rfam by way of RNAcentral
GCCUGGGUGGCUCAGUCGGUUAAGCAUCUGACUUCAGCUCAGGUCAUGAUUUCGCGGUCCGUAGGUUCGAGCCCCGCAUCGGGCU